Molecule: ribosomal RNA, 254 nt
Filed under: uncultured bacterium
Lineage: Bacteria
Description: partial 16S ribosomal RNA
Rfam family: Bacterial small subunit ribosomal RNA
Source: RNAcentral
UACGUAGGUGGCAAGCGUUGUCCGGAUUUAUUGGGUUUAAAGGGUGCGUAGGCGGUCAUGUAAGUCAGCGGUGAAAUCCGGCAGCUCAACUGUCGAUGUGCCAUUGAUACUGCAUGACUUGAGUACUGAUGAGGUAGGCGGAAUUGACGGUGUAGCGGUGAAAUGCUUAGAUAUCGUCAAAGAACACCGAUAGCGAAGGCAGCUUACUAAGCAGUAACUGACGCUGAUGCACGAAAGUGUGGGGAUCAAACAGG